AUUGAACGCUGGCGGAAUGCUUUACACAUGCAAGUCGAACGGUAGGGGGGGCAACCCCUCGAGAGUGGCGAACGGGUGAGUAAUAUAACGGAACGUGCCCCGUCGGGGUGGAUAACGUAGCGAAAGUUACGCUAAUAACGCAUACGAUCUACGGAUGAAAGCGGGGGACUGUAAGGCCUCGCGCGAUUGGAGCUGCCGAUGUCAGAUUAGGUAGUUGGUGAGGUAAAGGGACACCAAGCCGCCGAUCUGUAGCUGGUCUUAGAGGGUAACCAGCCACACUGGGACUGAGACAAGGCCCAGAAUCCUACGGGAGGCAACAGUGGGGAAUUUUGGACAAGGGACGCAAGUCUGAUCCAGCCAUUCCGCGUGCAGGACGAAGGCCUUCGGGUUGUAAACUGCUUUUGUACGGAACGAAAAAGCUCUUACUAAUACUAGGACUCCAUGACGGUACCGUAAGAAUAAGCACCGGCUAACUACGCGCCAGCCGCCGCGGUAA
RNAcentral lists this ribosomal RNA (496 nucleotides) under uncultured bacterium. RNAcentral describes it as "partial 16S ribosomal RNA". It matches the Rfam family "Bacterial small subunit ribosomal RNA", at positions 30 to 523 of the family's 1533-position model. The record is from RNAcentral.